AGAAUCAACGCUGGCGGCGUGCCUCAGACAUGCAAGUCGAACGCGAAAGUCCCCUUCGGGGACAAGUAGAGUGGCGCACGGGUGAGUAACACGUAGGUAAUCUACCUUCGGAUGGGGAAUAGCAACCGGAAACGGUUGCUAAUACGCAUAAUGCAGCGGCACCUAAUGGUGACAGUUGUUAAAGCGGGGAUUGAAAGACCUCGCGUCUGAAGAGGAGCCUGCGGCGGAUUAGC
RNAcentral lists this ribosomal RNA (233 nucleotides) under uncultured bacterium. RNAcentral describes it as "partial 16S ribosomal RNA". It matches the Rfam family "Bacterial small subunit ribosomal RNA", at positions 26 to 245 of the family's 1533-position model. The record is from RNAcentral.